AGGACCUUAAAAUAAUUAUUUAGGCUAUUAUUAUGAGUUAUAUUGAGUGUUAUUUAACGCUUAUAUAAUAGUAAUAAUAGCUAGACUAUUAAAUUAGUCUCGUCAAGCGUUAGACUAAACUCUAGUGGUAAUGAUACUAGGUUUCGUCAAGGGAUAAUUGUUUUAAGAGUAACGAAGUGCUGUCCGAGUGCCGACUCACCACCUUUCAGGUGAGUGCAUAGUCCCUUUCAUCUUACACAUAGAUAUGAAGUAUUUUAUAUAAACUACGUGCUAUGUGUGCACAUUAUCUGAAUACUUGCUGUCUAUGCUGGUUGAACGUUUUAUACAUGUUUUAAAGGACUUAAACUGUAUACGUAUUUUAUAUAUACGAAAAUGUUGGGUAUGAGAUGGGUAGAUGAAUGAUGAGAGAUAGAAGAUGACGUGAGUAUACAUUGGCAGCUAUAGACUUAGUGCCUAUGGGACAAACACCGGUAGCUAUGGACUUAGUACCUUUUAGACGUUGGUAGCUAUGGAUUUAGUACCUGUUGGGAAUUGGUAGCUAUGGACUUAGUACCUAUUAGUUAGACGCUGGUAGCUAAGGAUUUAGUACCUGUAGGAAUUGGUAGCUAUGGACUUAGUACCUGUUGAACAUUGGUAGCUAUGGACUUAGUACCUAUUAGAUAAAGACUGGUAGCUAUGGAUUUAGUACCCGAUGAAUAGACUAUAGCAGCUAUGGAAUUAGUGCUUUAUGAACGAACAUUGGCAGCUAUGGAUUUAGUGCCAGUCCCAUAACCCUGGAAGUAAGGGACUUCGGAAUAAACGAAUGCAGGAUAGAUGACUCUUAGGUUAAAUCCUUAAAGAGUAAAGAAGAUAAUGGGGAUGGGUAAUUGGGUUGAUUGUUUGAUUGAACAUAAUAAUUAUAUUAUUGUGGGUUGAAAACCCUAUGUACUCACCAGGUUUCCCAACCUGACCCACUCAGUUUAUGUAUAUCACAGGUGACGAAGUGAAGUGACAUUACACUGAGAGAUUUAAAAGAGAUGUAGAUCACUAGUGUAAAUCAUUGUAAGUUCUGUUUAUGCUUAUGUUUCGGUAUUAACGAUGACAUCCCAAACAUUUUAAAAUGAAAUAAAUACGUUUCUUCGAAAAUGUUUUAAUAACGUAUUUACCAUGUUUUUCUGGGAACAAAUUCCGCAACCUUUUUAUAAAAUGAAGUACUCUGAUUUUUAUAAAGCAUAAACAAAAUCGGUCUUUUCUGGCCGUGAUUUUGGGGAUGUCACAGUUGGUAUCAGAGCAUUAGUUUAAGCGAACUAGGAAUAUGGAUUUAUUUCUAGACUUAAACUUAGAAUGCUAAGCGAUGAUUGUGAGGUGUGAGCACUAGCUUAUUUUAGGAAUUGUGCCUAAAAUGCUUUUAUGUGCUAAAUGCUUUGUGCAUGAUAUGUUGUUAAUUGUUCGGAUCUAUGGUCUGUUGCCGACCGGAUCUGGAAACCUUAUGUGUUUAGGAUUCUAAACGUACGACUACGGUAUUAGAACUAGCAUGUAAAUGUUUCAGAGUGAUAAGGAUGAUUUAAACGUCAAGUAAAGGUCUAAAUUCACCUUAUUCGGUGUAUAGAUCGAGAUGGUAAGGACCCGUAGCGGAAACGUAAACGCAAAUGGGAACAGGAACCAACCCCCAGUGGUUCAGCAAAUACCUGUUGUAGAAGAAGUUGCGCCUGAGCCAGUCACCAUGGCUGGAGUUCAAGCCAUGAUUCGGGCUAUGUUGGCUGAACAAAGGGAAGAAAUGAGACGGAUGUUGAAUAGGGACGAACCUACUAUGCCCAUUGAGCAACCCGAACUGAUUCCCGAGCAAUCUGAGGAAGGGAACUACAGCCGCCAAGUGAGUCAAGUUGGGACUCAAGGUGAGCAAAGGGAUGGCCCAGAAGGGAGAAACAACAAGGAUGGGCGGAUGUACAAGAACUUCUUGGGUGCGAAACCACCAAGCCUCUCAGGAAGCCCAAAGCCGGUUGAGAUUAUGGAUUGGAUCUCUGAGAUGGAGAUGGUGUUUGAGAGCUGCAGCUGUAAUGAGAAACAGAAGACUGUCUUUGCAGUAAGACAGCUGAAAACUGGAGUCUUGAGCUGGUGGAAGCUAUUGGCAGAUACGAUGCCACGAGGAGAAGCCUUAAGGAUGUCGUGGGAAGAGUUUUUGGAAUAGUUGAAAAUGCAGUACUGCUCGGAGGUAGAUCUGAUAGACCUAAACAACGAGUUUCAGAACCUGAAGAAAGGGAAGAUGAGUGUUGAUGAGUAUGCCACCGCAUUUACCGAGAGGAUGAAGCUAUUUCCCUACUUGGUGCCUACUGAACUCUCCAAGAUUGAUAGGUUUGCUAACGGACUGCCCACUGACUUUGGUCCAAUGGUCAAAAUGGCAACUACCUUAAAAGCAGCUAUUAGGGCAGCUAAGAACGUAGAGGCCCAGAUAAGAGAAAAGGGUCUAGAAAAAGAUAAGGCAGGAGAGAAGCGAAAGUUUGAGGGAUCUUCGAGGUCGAACAAGGAAAGCAAAUUCUCAAAACUCGGAGGAGCAGAUGGAGGUGAAACAAGAUGGUGUGAUAAAUGCAAGAAGAAGCAUGGUGGGAAGUGCAACGAAGAAGUGACUUGUUACAAGUGUGGGAGGACGGGUCACUAUUCCAAAGACUGCACACAUAAUGACAAAGUAUGCUACGGAUGUGGAGGCAAGGGGCACAUGUCCAGAGACUGCCCAAGGAAAAAUAAAGCAGCAAGACCAGAAACGCCACCAAGGCCAAGGGCAUUUCACAUGAUCCUCGACGAAGCAGAGAACCAUGCGAGGAAUCAAGAAUGAGGACUUCUUACCCGAAGAUCGGAUUAUGCAGUAGCCAUAGUUUCGUAUGAUGUAGCCUAGUAGAGGCAUAGUCUAGGGUGAACUUGAACACCUAUGUAAUCGUUUCAAGAAUUAAUAUAAAACCUUCGUUUUGUUAUCUGAUGUGUUGAAUGAUUGUAUGAUUUGCUGCAUGGUGACUUGGGAAACUGCGAGACAAUACUUGGGACGAGUAUGAGUAGGUGUGAAUGGUAGUAGAGGCCUAUACUACCGGAAGCACAGGACUCACACUUGGAUCAGGGAAAGUCACAAGGUUACCAAGAAGCUAGUAAUUGAUUUCGUUUUAUUCAAGUGUGUUGUUACCAUCGUUUCGGUAAUGACUAAGAAGAUUGUUGAUAUUCCGACCCUAGUGGUCAUAUCGAAUCGAGUCCGACUACGAUGAGUAUGUUGUGUGGCUCAGAGGACCAAGUUUGAUGUAGCGUCCGACUUAAACCAAACGGUUGAAAUCAAAGCGAUCAAUAGAAGUAUCGCACUCGUUGUUAAAGAAGUUGGUGGCUAGAAAUGCCUAAUGUUAAAGUGUGAUUAUAUCACAUUAGAACAUGAAGGAAGGCAUAGUCUGUUUUAGAAUUUAACUCUAAGAGACCUAAGUCUAAGUGUUGCAACAUACGAUGAUAGGUCAUUAGAAUAUGACACAUCGAUCUAUAGUAGUAAUAAAAGAACUUAUCUCAAGUCCGUAUCCAGCAAGGAUCGAGAUUGUGACUUGAAGGUCAUAAUUUGGAGUCUAACCUGAGGUAGAGAGCAGGUGCACGAUCGAGUACUCUUACAGUCAAUGAGUUUAAGAGAUAGAAUUGAAGGAAUGUAGAAGUUAUAAUUAUUACCUAGGAUGAAGAGAUGACGUAUGGAGUCAUUAUAUGACCCUGUUUCGUUGAUGAUUCCGGGACGUAAUCAUCCAAAGGGGGAGAUAAUUGUAACGCCUGCAGAUCCGGGCUAGUCAAUUUAGAGGCAAUAGGGGUCGAAAACGACUUUUCGACAAAAAGAUUAUUUAGAAUAAAUAAUCUUAACCAAGUUGUAGAAUAUGUCACAGGGUUUCCGUACAUAUAAAGAACGCCGAAAUCCGAGUUAUAACGAAGAAGUUAUGACCCGUCGAAGUUUCGCGUCGGAACCGGCACGGCGCCGGGAAGCGUAAAUAGUAAAUUUAUGAUAGAGCGAGAUUUAGAUUUAGCGCUCUAAACGAAAGUCGUAGAAUAUGUUAAACUAAGAACUUCGAUAAAAAGAACGCCCAAAUCUGACUUCGUAUGAAGAAGUUACGAUUUUUCGAAGUUUCGGAUUAGCAGUGUACAGUCCGAAAUUCGAAUAUUAGAUCGAGCGAUUUUUAGCCGACACAACCUAAACGAGAAUUGAAGAUCUCAUUAUUAGUAGCGUAACAAUAAAAAGACAGACGAAAAUGGACAUCGGAUGAAGAAGUUAUGAGAUUUUAACGGACCAAUCCUGUCCCGGCCUGUUAAAAAUAUAACUUUAAAAAUAAAGUCAAAAUUAGCCGACGGAGUCUAAACGAAAGUUGUAGAGUACGUCUCCACCUACGCGUGGAUAUAAAGAACGUCAAAAACGGAGUUCGUAUGAACGAGUUACAAAUUAUAAUAGCAUAUUUACGUAUUAAAAUAAAGUAUAAAUCAUAUAUACGUACACAUAUAUAUACAUAUGUAUAUAUCAUUAGAAAGGUAUCGACGAUGCGGUCAUUAUAAGACUAAUGUUGAGUUCUUUCGACAUUAGUUUAGUACAAAUAUCUUUAAAUCUAUUUAAAAUAGUAUUAUAAAGGGGUGUUUAGUUGUUUAUAUAACUAUAAGGUCAUUAAGUAAUUAUGGGGGGUAGUUUUUGUAAAUUCAAUUACUAUAAAUAAGAGGCUUGGGCUCUCAUAUUUCUUGCACCAUUCUCUUGAUUCAAGAGUCUUUCUCUCCUUAUCCCCCGAGCAUUUCGGUCCCUCGUGAUUCGACUUCUCUUUCUGUAGUUUUAGUAUAGUAAGGUGAGCGCUGAAGCGCUGCACGAAUCUUUCUUAGAAAGAUUCAGCGACGAAGUUCUGCCCCUACAGAGCCCGACUCCUAGCUAAAAUCCCCUUGUAAGUAAGUUAUGCUUACCCUAUUUUAAAUAUAGUUUAUAUUUAAAAUUAGUAUUGUUAUUAUAAAUUUAUAAUAAAUAUUUGAGCUAUUAUUAUGACUUAUAUAAGUGUCGUUAUAAUAUCUUUUUAACUACUCGCGGUACGGGGAAUCUGGUUUAAAGGGCCGCAUAGGGUUGUUGGAUUUCAGAAGUGCUAUAUGCCAAAAUGGUCCUGCCCUCCGGUGUUUUAUGUCUGGCCCCUGUCUGUACAUAGUGGUUGGAAAGUAUUGUUUAAACGCUUAUAUAAUAAUAAUAAUAAGACUAAUAAUUAGUCACGGUAAAUAUUAGACUAAAAUCUAGUGGUAAUAAUACUAGGUUUCGUCGAAGGAAAUUAUUUUAAAGUAAACGAAGCGCUGUCCGAGUACCGAGUCACCACCUUCUCAGGUGAGUGCAUAGUCCCUUUCAUCUUACACAUAGAUAUGAAGUAUUUUAUAUAAACUACGUGCUAUGUGUGCACAUUAUCUGAAUACUUGUUGUCUAUGCUGGUUGAACGUUUUAUACAUGUUUUAAAGGACUUAAACUGUAUACGUAUUUUAUAUAUACGAAAAUGUUGGGUAUGAGAUGGGUAGAUGAAUGAUGAGAGAUAGAAGAUGACGUGAGUAUACAUUGGCAGCUAUAGACUUAGUGCCUAUGGGACAAACACCGGUAGCUAUGGACUUAGUACCUUUUAGACGUUGGUAGCUAUGGAUUUAGUACCUGUUGGGAAUUGGUAGCUAUGGACUUAGUACCUAUUAGUUAGACGCUGGUAGCUAAGGAUUUAGUACCUGUAGGAAUUGGUAGCUAUGGACUUAGUACCUGUUGAACAUUGGUAGCUAUGGACUUAGUACCUAUUAGAUAAAGACUGGUAGCUAUGGAUUUAGUACCCGAUGAAUAGACUAUAGCAGCUAUGGAAUUAGUGCUUUAUGAACGAACAUUGGCAGCUAUGGAUUUAGUGCCAGUCCUAUAACCCUGGAAGUAAGGGACUUCGGAAUAAACGAAUGCAGGAUAGACGACUCUUAGGUUAAAUCCUUAAGAGUAAAGAAGAUAACGGGGAUGGGUAAUGGGGUUAAUUGUUUGAUGAUUAAACAUAACAACUAUAUUAUUGUGGGUUGAAAACCCUAUGUACUCACCAGGUUUCCCAACCUGACCCACUCAGUUUAUUUACAUCACAGGUGACGAUAUGAAGUGACAUUACACUGAGAGAUUUAAAGAGAUGUAUAUCACUAGUGUAAAUAAUUGUAAGUUCUGUUUAUGCUUAUGUUUCUGUAUUAACAAUGACAUCCCAAACGUUUUAAAAUGAAAUAAAUACGUUUCUUCGAAAAUGUUUUAAUAACGUAUUUAUCGUGUUUUUUUCUGGGAACAAAUUCCGCAACAUUUUUAUAAAAUGAAGUACUCUGAUUUUUAUAAAGCAUAAACAAAAUCGGUCUUUUCUGGCCGUGAUUUUGCGGAUGUCACACCCUCUGCUUAGGAGUAUAAGAAACGGUCACUAGGUUCCACCAGUUCUUCGUGCCUAGCCGAAGAAGAUUCUGGCCGUACUUGACCUUCCAGUCCUCCGGACAAGAACAUGUGAAGAAGCAUCCCCUCACAUCAAAAAUCAAUCUCAUAGCCACAAUCGAGUCAUGAACCCCGUCAAACUCUGGGGUUUCAUGUUUCUAAAAUCUCGGUACUAUAAUGAACCUCAUCAUUGGCCUCCCGCAACAGCGAAGGUUGCUGUGGUAGCAGUAGUAGCCUCCUCCAUGGCGCCAUACUGCUCAUCAAAU
Molecule: long non-coding RNA, 6675 nt
Filed under: Lactuca sativa (garden lettuce)
Lineage: Eukaryota; Viridiplantae; Streptophyta; Magnoliopsida; Asterales; Asteraceae
Description: long non-coding RNA (LSAT_LNC008449)
Source: RNAcentral